RNAcentral lists this transfer RNA (72 nucleotides) under Aedes aegypti (yellow fever mosquito). It matches the Rfam family "tRNA". Rfam says of the family: Transfer RNA (tRNA) molecules are approximately 80 nucleotides in length. Their secondary structure includes four short double-helical elements and three loops (D, anti-codon, and T loops). The record is from Rfam by way of RNAcentral. Lineage: Eukaryota; Metazoa; Arthropoda; Insecta; Diptera; Culicidae.
GGCUUGGUAGCUUAGUUGGUAAAGCGCUCGUCUAGCAUACAAGAGUCCUGGGUUCAAAUCUCAACCGAGCAC